GUGCCCUUCGGGAACCCGGUGACAGGUGCUGCAUGGCUGUCGUCAGCUCGUGUCGUGAGAUGUUGGGUUAAGUCCCGCAACGAGCGCAACCCUUGUCUUUAAUUGCCAUCAUUUAGUUGGGCACUUUAAAGAGACUGCCGGUGUUAAGCCGGAGGAAGGUGGGGAUGACGUCAAGUCCUCAUGGCCCUUACAUCCCGGGCUACACACGUGCUACAAUGGCAGGUACAGAGGGCUGCGAAGCCGCGAGGUGGAGCGAAUCCCAGAAAACCUGUCUCAGUCCGGAUUGAAGUCUGCAACUCGACUUCAUGAAGGCGGAAUCGCUAGUAACCGCGAAUCAGCAGGUCGCGGUGAAUACGUUCCCGGGCCUU
This 368-nucleotide ribosomal RNA is filed under the name uncultured Pelobacter sp. RNAcentral describes it as "bacterial SSU rRNA". It matches the Rfam family "Bacterial small subunit ribosomal RNA", at positions 1014 to 1382 of the family's 1533-position model. Lineage: Bacteria; Pseudomonadati; Thermodesulfobacteriota; Desulfuromonadia; Desulfuromonadales; Desulfuromonadaceae. The record is from RNAcentral.